AGAAUUCUUCGAAGAGCAGCGUGCGUAGGCUUCGAAGCCGGGAACGGAGCUUGAGUUCUUCGAAGAGCAGCGUGAAGUGAACCGGAGUUUUCGAUGAGUAACGAUGAUCUCAGACCGAGAAAUGACAACAUAUUGGCUGGGAUGUUAUUCAUCCAACAUGUAAGGUAGAGUUCUUCGAAGAGCAGCGUGCGUAGGCUUCGAAGACGAGAGAAAGUUGCAGGAAUACGACCUGAUGAAGAUCUCGAU
Helianthus annuus (common sunflower) is the source of this 246-nucleotide long non-coding RNA. RefSeq lists it as uncharacterized. The record is from RefSeq and is a predicted model, not a curated record. The transcript has 3 exons. NCBI's taxonomy places the organism in Eukaryota, Viridiplantae, Streptophyta, Magnoliopsida, Asterales, Asteraceae.